Molecule: ribosomal RNA, 497 nt
Filed under: uncultured bacterium
Lineage: Bacteria
Description: partial 16S ribosomal RNA
Rfam family: Bacterial small subunit ribosomal RNA
Source: RNAcentral
GAUGAACGCUGGCGGCGUGCCUAAUACAUGCAAGUCGAGCGAACGGACGAGAAGCUUGCUUCUCUGAUGUUAGCGGCGGACGGGUGAGUAACACGUGGAUAACCUACCUAUAAGACUGGGAUAACUUCGGGAAACCGUAGCUAAUACCGGAUAAUAUUUUGAACCGCAUGGUUCAAAAGUGAAAGACGGUCUUGCUGUCACUUAUAGAUGGAUCCGCGCUGCAUUAGCUAGUUGGUAAGGUAACGGCUUACCAAGGCAACGAUGCAUAGCCGACCUGAGAGGGUGAUCGUCCACACUGGAACUGAGACACGGUCCAGACUCCUACGUGAGGCAGCAGUAGGGAAUCUUCCGCAAUGGGCGAAAGCCUGACGGAGCAACGCCGCGUGAGUGAUGAAGGUCUUCGGAUCGUAAAACUCUGUUAUUAGGGAAGAACAUAUGUGUAAGUAACUGUGCACAUCUUGACGGUACCUAAUCAGAAAGCCACGGCUAACUACGUG